Molecule: RNA transcript, 2915 nt
Organism: Manacus vitellinus (golden-collared manakin)
Lineage: Eukaryota; Metazoa; Chordata; Aves; Passeriformes; Pipridae
Exons: 6
Source: RefSeq, a predicted model, not a curated record
GUCUUGAAGUUGAUAAGGUGGUCACUGAGAACUUUGGGGGCUGCAGGCACAGGUGACCACCAGAGACCCCUGAUGGAGCCCCUCAGAGACCUUAUAAGGGUUUGUGUAGAUGGGAACAGGUGUUGGGAGUGUCCUGAAUGUGCAACAGGAAUGCAGGGAAGGAAAAUGAGCCCUCCUGUAAUGCUGACCCCUCCCAUCAGCUGCAGUGGAGACCCCUCCGUGUGCCCUUUGGGAGCGGAUUGCCAGGACCCCCGUGGGGCUGGGAUCAUGGCAGGGUGUUGUAAGCAAGGAAUGCCUGGCUUCUAAAAGUCACCAGCUGAGUCUUAGAGGCUCCUUUGAAGAGCUGAGUUCAGGCAGCAGAAUUGCCCCCCAGGAGGGACUCUGUGCCUGCUCUCCCGUGGCUCCAAGGGAUCUCUGGCCCUUCACGCCGGCACCGAGAUUUUCUCGGGAAGGGCCUCAGAUCUCCGGACCAGUCUGGGACACAGGCAAGAUCCCCCUGCAUUUUGGGACCAAAUUGGCCCCUGGAGGGACAGUGCUGUUGGUGCCCCCCGGGUUGGGGCACCCCGAGGACUCCAGCGCGCACCGAAAGGAUUAUUCGGGGAGAUCCUCGGGGUGCCCGGCCCUGGGGAGCUCAAAGCAAGGUCCCUGCCAUGGAUUCAGGCAUUGCUGAGAGUAUCCCAGGGGUCCCUGUCCCUGCUAGACAGGGAGCUCUCUAAUGGGCUGUAAUUGGGUUCUAAAAGUGGUGCUCCAAGUGCCAAAGAAGUGUGGGAUUGGGAUUAAGAAAUGAGCAGUGAGGGUGCAAUUGGCUGUUUUCUCUGGAAUGUGACUGUGAGAGCUGCAGGAGGGCCAGGUGUGUGUUCCAGUCCCCAGCAUUUGGUUUGCACAUGUCCUGGUCAGACACAAGUACAAUUUCCUCAGUCCUGAACACAGCAGAAUGAGAAUUAUGGACUGGCAGUGUUAAGGUGAUUGGUGUGACAGGGGUCAAACUGGGAAAACAUUGGGGAAUUCCUCAGUUUGUGUUUUUGCCAAACUCACCCAAACCUCUGCUAGGAAGUGAUGGGCUGGAAAAGUUGAGGCAGAAAUGGAAUUGAAAACUGGGGCUCUUGACGCUGUAAUUGCUGAAACUAAAUGUGUCCAAGCAGCAGCUCUUGUUGUGCAGGGAAUAACUCCUGUCAGCAGCAAGGCCCCCACUGAAGUGGCAGCUGCAGUUGUUCCUGUGGUGUGGGCCAGUGGAGCUGCAGGAGAGUGGAAGAGGGCAGAACCUGUAGGUGUUACCCCUGAUGUGGGAUCUCUCCAGGUAAGGCCAAGACAGUAUCCUUUAAAAUCAGAAUGCCAGACUGGAUUGGUUGCAGGAACAGCUGAAUUUGCUCCUCCUGGUUUGCUUGUAGGAUGUGAAUGCCAGAAUCUGCCAAGAAAACCAAUGGCCAAGGGGAUUGAUUAGUGCAGGACCUGAGAGAACCCCUGAGAAAAUGGGACAAGCGGGCAGGAAGAAGAGAAGCCCCGUGACUCCUCCCUGAGCCCCAGACAGCCCAUGAACUGCCUUGCUGGGAGUGGUGGGACGGGCUGGACUCUGGAUUGCUCCUUCUGGAUGUGUGGCUCUCCCCUCAGGAACUGCAGGAACUCCUGGUGCCGCCUGGGCCGAUGGAUUGGACGCCCCAGCCCCUCCGUUCCUGCCCGGCCACUGGGGCCGUGUCCAGUGGUGGCACUGCCAGCCCUGCAGUGGGAUGGAGCCUGGAAAGUGCACAGAGCUGAGCCCAGGGAUUGAAAGGGACCAAGCAAGGGAGGUGAAGAAAGAAGGAAGAAGGGAAGUGAGGCAGCAGGCAAGCAGCACCAAGUUGCUGUGUAAGCAGUGGGAUGUUCCCUAGAAAGUGCAUGGAGCUGAGCCAAGGAACUUAAAGGGACUGAGCAAGCAAAGUCAAGAAAGAAUGAAGAAGGGAACUGAGGCAGCAGCCAAGCAGCACCAAGCUCCUCUACAACCAGAGUUGAUGUGACUGACUUCUUUUUGAAAUGCAGCAGUGCUCUCAAGGAUAUUUCCCCCGCACUCCUGGGCUUGUGCAGGGCUGUUGAGUCCGUGUGUGCCACUGUUCUUGUCCCAGGGGGACCGAGUGACAUUUGGAACCAAACCUGGGGACUUGAACUCUAGGAAUGUUUCUGUGUCUUUGAAUUUUAAAUUGCACAUGAAGCAGAAAUAUGUUUGUGUUUUCCAGGUUAUAUUGUCAUGAAAAUAGAAAUGCAUCAUUGGAUCUUACUCCUCUGAGGGCAAACCACCAGACUGAUCAUUUCUUAGUCCAUCAGACCCAGUGCCAGGAACUCAGAGGGGUGUUUGUGUGCAAAUGUGCUGAGUGGUGGUGGCCCCCGUGAGACUGUGACCAGCUGGAAAUGUGUGUGUGUGUGUGUGCAGAGCUGGGCUGGAUCCCUUGGGAUUUGGCUCCCAGAUCCCCCCCAGCCUUCAGGAAAACCAGAGGCCACCGAACCCUGAGGGAAGGGAGUCCCAUUUGCAGAAGGGUUUGUAGAUUGGGGAAAAGCUCUCCAGAACAAAGCCUGUGUUCCAAACCCCUUCAGGCCAAAGUCAAGGAGCACAAACCCUGGAGUCAUCAAGUUACGAAGUUUGGUUCAAACCAUUUCCUAAUAAGUCAGUUUUAAUGAAGUGUUAAAAGGAGAACUUAAAUAAGGGUAAUUUCUGAUGGAGAAUAAUGGGAAGAAGUGGUUUAAGUUCCCUAAACAUGUUUUAUAUCAGUCCAUGGUUAUUUAAUUGAGCAUUGUUUGGAAUUUUUCUUUUUGCAUUCGUUCCUGGUGUGCUUUUCUCUAUCUAAGGGAUGUUUGGAGGUCUUUUUGAUUGCUUGAAGGUUUUUAAUGUCAGUGCUGGAUUGGGGUGGACAGUCAUUGUAACAUGAUUUAGAGUUGGAUGCAUUUUA